RNAcentral lists this ribosomal RNA (728 nucleotides) under uncultured bacterium. RNAcentral's name for it is "bacterial SSU rRNA". It matches the Rfam family "Bacterial small subunit ribosomal RNA", at positions 777 to 1504 of the family's 1533-position model. The record is from RNAcentral.
AUUAGAUACCCUGGUAGUCCACGCCGUAAACGAUGUCUACUUGAAGGUUGUGGCCUUGAGCCGUGGCUUUCGGAGCUAACGCGUUAAGUAGACCGCCUGGGGAGUACGGUCGCAAGAUUAAAACUCAAAUGAAUUGACGGGGGCCCGCACAAGCGGUGGAGCAUGUGGUUUAAUUCGAUGCAACGCGAAGAACCUUACCUACUCUUGACAUCCAGAGAAUUCGCUAGAGAUAGCUUAGUGCCUUCGGGAACUCUGAGACAGGUGCUGCAUGGCUGUCGUCAGCUCGUGUUGUGAAAUGUUGGGUUAAGUCCCGCAACGAGCGCAACCCUUAUCCUUGUUUGCCAGCACGUAAUGGUGGGAACUCCAGGGAGACUGCCGGUGAUAAACCGGAGGAAGGUGGGGACGACGUCAAGUCAUCAUGGCCCUUACGAGUAGGGCUACACACGUGCUACAAUGGCGUAUACAGAGGGCUGCCAACCAGCGAUGGUGAGCGAAUCCCACAAAGUACGUCGUAGUCCGGAUCGGAGUCUGCAACUCGACUCCGUGAAGUCGGAAUCGCUAGUAAUCGUGAAUCAGAAUGUCACGGUGAAUACGUUCCCGGGCCUUGUACACACCGCCCGUCACACCAUGGGAGUGGGCUGCACCAGAAGUAGAUAGCUUAACCUUCGGGAGGGCGUUUACCACGGUGUGGUUCAUGACUGGGGUGAAGUCGUAACAAGGUAACCGUA